RNAcentral lists this ribosomal RNA (474 nucleotides) under Mycobacterium sp. Its description in RNAcentral is "bacterial SSU rRNA". It matches the Rfam family "Bacterial small subunit ribosomal RNA", at positions 28 to 505 of the family's 1533-position model. Lineage: Bacteria; Bacillati; Actinomycetota; Actinomycetes; Mycobacteriales; Mycobacteriaceae. The record is from RNAcentral.
GACGAACGCUGGCGGCGUGCUUAACACAUGCAAGUCGAACGGAAAGGCCUCUUCGGAGGUACUCGAGUGGCGAACGGGUGAGUAACACGUGGGCAAUCUGCCCUGCACUUCGGGAUAAGCCUGGGAAACUGGGUCUAAUACCGAAUAGGACCAUUAGACGCAUGUCUUUUGGUGGAAAGCUUUUGCGGUGUGGGAUGGGCCCGCGGCCUAUCAGCUAGUUGGUGGGGUGAUGGCCUACCAAGGCGACGACGGGUAGCCGGCCUGAGAGGGUGUCCGGCCACACUGGGACUGAGAUACGGCCCAGACUCCUACGGGAGGCAGCAGUGGGGAAUAUUGCACAAUGGGCGCAAGCCUGAUGCAGCGACGCCGCGUGGGGGAUGACGGCCUUCGGGUUGUAAACCUCUUUCACCAUCGACGAAGGUCCGGGUUUUCUCGGAUUGACGGUAGGUGGAGAAGAAGCACCGGCCAACUACG